CAAACCGAACCAGAACCGUGACAUCUCAGAUACUGUCCAUCAACAUCACUGGGCUGGUUCUGCUCUGGUCCUGCUGACUACACUAGUGGACUGGCCAUUGGGAGCACCGGGAGAUUUCACAGUGGCCUGUCAGCCUGAGCAGAGGCAGCGAUAAUAUAGCAAACAGGAGAAUCUGUGUAUCCACCGAGUCCACGUCUCUCUUUCUCUGCCAAAUAUGUGUUUAUUUUUGUUUGCUUGCUUUCUGGACACCAGAGAGUGAACACUGGAAUCAACAGGUUUAUUGUAGGCUAUAGGUGCAACACAUCAUGGCAAACCGUCAGUGCACAUUUGAGAUUGACAACAAGAGUUCACCUUCUGUAACCCGCAGGUGUUCACUUACAGUGGAUCCUAUGAGAAGCCGUUGUCACCAACUCUCGGCCCCUCUGAAUCUGGCAGCGCUCUGUUCAUCAAGACUUCGAACACAGCGUGUGGGGCUGUUGGAGUCCUCACCUAUGAUCUGCAGAACAAAUCCACAGAGAAAUGUGAUGGAAAAAUAGCCGUCAUGUACUCCGUUCCUUAUGACUACAACUUCUACUCUAACAUGUACGCAGUGGGAGUCUUUGACGUGGAUACAAAGUGUGAUUAUGACCUUUAGAAACAGAUGUAUUAUGGGGCGGGGUCAAUGUUUGUCAGAGGUAAAGCUAAAGACAGUCUGACUUACAAAGGCAAAGAUGUGACCAUCGGAGCCACCAUGUCAGACAGUAAGACAUCUGUCAUCAAGGUGCACGUGUCCAACUGAAAUAUGAAGCUUCCUUAAACCCUUCAGACCUUCUUCCAUGAACCAGUAAUCUCCACUAAUGGAACAGUUUUCUGUCACGUUAAGGUUUGACUUGUGCUAAAGUUACAUUAGAAUUUCAGAUAACAGUAUCCUAUAUAGCGUACCACUAGUGUAAUAUUAAUUCCAGUUCCAGCAGUUUCGUUACGGUUCGUUGUUCUCGUUCAUUAAAUCCUCGUGCGAGAAAAAAAGCUAACUUGUCACUAAUCAGAACCGUUCGUGCAGAACGAGUUCAACAUUUGGAAAGUUUGCCGUAGCACCACGUCAACCUUUUUUCAUGUCCCGCCUCUCUGCUCCUGCUUCCAGUGUUUAUGCUGAGCUACACUGUA
This is a long non-coding RNA of Micropterus salmoides (largemouth bass), 1143 nucleotides long. RefSeq lists it as uncharacterized. The record is from RefSeq and is a predicted model, not a curated record. Lineage: Eukaryota; Metazoa; Chordata; Actinopteri; Centrarchiformes; Centrarchidae. The transcript has 3 exons.